Molecule: transfer RNA, 69 nt
Filed under: Cucujoidea sp. 31 KM-2017
Lineage: Eukaryota; Metazoa; Arthropoda; Insecta; Coleoptera
Description: tRNA-Ser
Source: RNAcentral
AGUUUAUGAACUUGUUAUAAGUAUAUAUUUUGAAAAUAUAAAAAAGAGACCAUAAUUCUCUAUAAACUU